AUACCUUUCUCGGCCUUUUGGCUAAGAUCAAGUGUAGUAUCUGUUCUUAUCAGUUUAAUAUCUGAUACGUGGGUCAAUGGCCCACACGAUAUUAAAUUAAUUUCUUUAAGGGGAGGGUCCACUAUAAUAGCUUGCUAUUGGGGCUCUCACGUGUCGCCCAAGCGUUGCACUGCAGCGUGGGCCUGGCGCACCCCAA
RNAcentral lists this small nuclear RNA (196 nucleotides) under Prunus dulcis (almond). RNAcentral's name for it is "sRNA ncRNA". It matches the Rfam family "U2 spliceosomal RNA". From Rfam's summary of the family: U2 is a small nuclear RNA (snRNA) component of the spliceosome (involved in pre-mRNA splicing). Complementary binding between U2 snRNA (in an area lying towards the 5' end but 3' to hairpin I) and the branchpoint sequence (BPS) of the intron results the bulging out of an unpaired adenosine, on the BPS, which initiates a nucleophilic attack at the intronic 5' splice site, thus starting the first of two transesterification reactions that mediate splicing. The record is from Rfam by way of RNAcentral. Lineage: Eukaryota; Viridiplantae; Streptophyta; Magnoliopsida; Rosales; Rosaceae.